GCUGAUGGUGGUGAGGUCAUUUUGCACGGU
This 30-nucleotide non-coding RNA is filed under the name Homo sapiens (human). Lineage: Eukaryota; Metazoa; Chordata; Mammalia; Primates; Hominidae. The record is from RNAcentral.